This 253-nucleotide ribosomal RNA is filed under the name uncultured bacterium. RNAcentral describes it as "partial 16S ribosomal RNA". It matches the Rfam family "Bacterial small subunit ribosomal RNA", at positions 524 to 776 of the family's 1533-position model. The record is from RNAcentral.
UACGUAGGGUGCAAGCGUUGUCCGGAAUUAUUGGGCGUAAAGAGCUCGUAGGCGGCCUGUCGCGUCGGCUGUGAAAACCCGAGGCUCAACCUCGGGCCUGCAGUCGAUACGGGCAGGCUAGAGUUCGGUAGGGGAGACUGGAAUUCCUGGUGUAGCGGUGAAAUGCGCAGAUAUCAGGAGGAACACCGGUGGCGAAGGCGGGUCUCUGGGCAAUAACUGACGCUGAGGAGCGAAAGUGUGGGGAGCGAACAGG